This 19-nucleotide transfer RNA is filed under the name Abies lasiocarpa (subalpine fir). RNAcentral's name for it is "partial tRNA-Leu". RNAcentral also lists the same sequence under 22 other names. The record is from RNAcentral. Lineage: Eukaryota; Viridiplantae; Streptophyta; Pinopsida; Pinales; Pinaceae.
UGGGGAUAGAGGGACUUGA